Long non-coding RNA from Lycium ferocissimum, 774 nucleotides. RefSeq lists it as uncharacterized. The record is from RefSeq and is a predicted model, not a curated record. Lineage: Eukaryota; Viridiplantae; Streptophyta; Magnoliopsida; Solanales; Solanaceae. The transcript has 3 exons.
CUCCUCCAAACAAUUUUGACGGAGGCCUUUUCCAAUCCUUGAUCUUCAGCCUAACAACCGAGGAUGUUGGAGUGGGGACAAUGGAAAGUGUCAAGCAUUUGUUCAUUUCGAUCAAAUUUGAGUAUUGUGCUCUGAGGCUGCCAUCAUAUAACUGAUGAUCGGCUUCUAGCUUGGGUAGAUAAAUGUGUCAAACUUGAAAAAUAUGGGUACAGGGGAAGGUUCAUUCUUGUAGUGUUCCUCUUAGCUUUAACAAGCUGGACAAAUCUCUCACUCAGGUAGCUUUACAGGACGGUGCCUCUUACAUUAUCCAUCUUGCCUUAAACGAACAGAAAAAAUGUGAUCCACCCAGUGUACUUUCAAUCAUAAUGGAUGUUGCUGAGGGAGCAGAAUAAAAAAUUGAAUAUAUUGGCUUGGAGGGACGAGAGAUCAAAAACAAUCGACAAAUAGAAUCCCAACUAUUGCAAACAUAGCAUGGAGAUAAGAAGUCCUCUUUGUACCGCUAAAAAAAAAUAUGUAACCUGGUUGCAUUAGUUUGAAGUAGUUCACAUCUUCCUCCAGAUUAAACCAUUCUCCUUGUAUUUUGAUGUCAAGAUACUUGACGAAAUGGUGAACUAUGUGCUACUUGAGUCAAGAACGUGGUUUUGAAUUACAUAUGCAGCUAAUGACAUUUCGUAGUAGUGUUGUGCUUGUAUUGGCACGGGCCAUCUCCACUAGUUUUAGUAUACGUGUAGCUAAUACUACUUAUUUGGGAAUAUAACAAAAAAUUAAGUUGAU